Molecule: long non-coding RNA, 380 nt
Organism: Coregonus clupeaformis (lake whitefish)
Lineage: Eukaryota; Metazoa; Chordata; Actinopteri; Salmoniformes; Salmonidae
Exons: 3
Source: RefSeq, a predicted model, not a curated record
UACUCAGAAGGAUCCUGUGAGGUCGGGACAUUUUCUGGCAACAGAAGUCCUUGCAAGUAGCAGUGCUUCUGCCGUGAAGUCUUGGAGGCAAGGGCACAGUCAUCAUGCAAAAAUUCCCAGUCAUCAUGCUAGUGGCUGUAGGAAAUCCAGAAGUAUUGUUGCCGGAGGAAGUUGCUGGACAGACAUUUGUAUAUCUGGACCAGGACCACAGAAGCUUGUUGCUUGCAUGGAGCGCCUGUGUGCCCGACUGGACAAGUGCAGAGUUCCAUGUCCACAGUAUAGGUCUGGCCUGGUGUGGUGCCCUUCACCUUGUACUUCUUCUCCCUCACCUGGCAGACAUUAGGGAAGAGAUGAUAGACAACUUAUAAUGCAAGCUAUAA